GGCUUCGUAGCUCAGCUGGUGGAGCGUUUGCCUUGUUGAGGCAUGGUGUUCCUGUCGAUGGUUCGAAUCCAGUCGAAGCCC
Molecule: non-coding RNA, 81 nt
Organism: Paragonimus skrjabini miyazakii
Lineage: Eukaryota; Metazoa; Platyhelminthes; Trematoda; Plagiorchiida; Troglotrematidae
Source: the annotation of a GenBank genome assembly